RNAcentral lists this ribosomal RNA (292 nucleotides) under uncultured bacterium. RNAcentral's name for it is "partial 16S ribosomal RNA". It matches the Rfam family "Bacterial small subunit ribosomal RNA", at positions 335 to 612 of the family's 1533-position model. The record is from RNAcentral.
ACUCCUACGGGAGGCAGCAGGUGGGGGAAUAUUGCACAAUGGGGGGAAACCCCUGAUGCAGCCAUGCCGCGUGUGUGAAGAAGGCCUUCGGGGUUGUAAAGCAGCUUUCAGUAGGGAGGAAGGUAGUGUAGUUAACACCUGCACUAUUUGACGUUACCUACAGAAGAAGCACCGGCUAACUCCGUGCCAGCAGCCGCGGUAAUACGGAGGGUGCGAGCGUUAAUCGGAAUUACUGGGCGUAAAGCGCAUGCAGGCGGCCCUGUUAAGUCAGAUGUGAAAGCCCGGGGCUUAA